UAAGCAUAUCAAUAAGCGGAGGAAAAGAAACCAACAGGGAUUGCCUCAGUAACGGCGAGUGAAGCGGCAACAGCUCAAAUUUGAAAUCUGGCUCCCCUGGGGGCCCGAGUUGUAAUUUGUAGAGGAUGCUUCGGCGUGGGCCCCGGUCUAAGUUCCUUGGAACAGGACGUCACAGAGGGUGAGAAUCCCGUACGUGGCCGUGGGUGCUCGCCAUGUGAAGCUCCUUCGACGAGUCGAGUUGUUUGGGAAUGCAGCUCUAAAUGGGAGGUAAAUUUCUUCUAAAGCUAAAUACUGGCCAGAGACCGAUAGCGCACAAGUAGAGUGAUCGAAAGAUGAAAAGCACUUUGGAAAGAGAGUCAAAAAGUACGUGAAAUUGUUGAAAGGGAAGCGCUUGCAACCAGACCUGCCUGCGGUUGCUCAUCCGGGCUCCUGCCCGGUGCACUCUUCCGCAGUCAGGCCAGCAUCAGCUCUGGCGGUCGGAUAAAGGCGGCGGGAAUGUGGCUCCCCUCGGGGAGUGUUAUAGCCCGCCGUGCAAUGCGGCCAGCCGGGACUGAGGUCCGCGCUUCGGCUAGGAUGCUGGCGUAAUGGUUGUAAGCGGCCCGUCUUGAAACACGGACCAAGGAGUCUAACAUCUGUGCGAGUGUUUGGGUGUCAAGCCCAGGCGCGUAAUGAAAGUGAACGGAGGCGGGAACCUUCGGGUGCACCGUCGACCGAUCCUGAUGUCUUCGGAUGGAUUUGAGUAAGAGCAUAGCUGUUGGGACCCGAAAGAUGGUGAACUAUGCCUGAAUAGGGUGAAGCCAGAGGAAACUCUGGUGGAGGCUCGCAGCGGUUCUGACGUGCAAAUCGAUCGUCAAAUUUGGGCAUAGGGGCGAAAGACUAAUCGAAC
This 886-nucleotide ribosomal RNA is filed under the name Rhytidhysteron neorufulum. Its description in RNAcentral is "partial large subunit ribosomal RNA". It matches the Rfam family "Eukaryotic large subunit ribosomal RNA", at positions 35 to 940 of the family's 3401-position model. The record is from RNAcentral. Lineage: Eukaryota; Fungi; Ascomycota; Dothideomycetes; Hysteriales; Hysteriaceae.